UUGAGACGAAAUUAAUGGUUUCCAUUUUCAUCCCACUCCACCAAAAUCAGGGCUGUAUGCUUUGAUACAUCUUGGUGCUUCCCAAGUGCAUGUUGAACUUCGAACUAUGAGCCUCCGUCAUGAUAUCUCUCUUCAACUCGCUAUCACUAGAGACACACAACCUAUUAUGAAACCUUAGCAACCCAUCUAUAGAGACUCGAAACUCUAAAUUCAAAUCCUAUUCUGUAUUUUUUUUAAAGUUGCUAGAGUGAAAUCAGUCAAUUGAGCCUCAUUUAUU
This 277-nucleotide long non-coding RNA is filed under the name Carica papaya (papaya). RNAcentral's name for it is "long non-coding RNA (CPAP_LNC012708)". The record is from RNAcentral. Lineage: Eukaryota; Viridiplantae; Streptophyta; Magnoliopsida; Brassicales; Caricaceae.